This 253-nucleotide ribosomal RNA is filed under the name uncultured bacterium. Its description in RNAcentral is "partial 16S ribosomal RNA". It matches the Rfam family "Bacterial small subunit ribosomal RNA", at positions 524 to 776 of the family's 1533-position model. The record is from RNAcentral.
UACGUAGGGGGCAAGCGUUGUCCGGAUUUAUUGGGCGUAAAGCGCGUGUAGGCGGCCACGCAGGUCCGUUGUGAAAACUGAAGGCUUAACCUUCAGACGUCGACGGAAACCGUGUGGCUAGAGUCCGGAAGAGGAGAGUGGAAUUCCUGGUGUAGCGGUGAAAUGCGCAGAUAUCAGGAAGAACACCAAUGGCGAAGGCGGCUUUCUGGACGACAACUGACGCUGAGACGCGAAAGCGUGGGGAGCAAACAGG